Molecule: ribosomal RNA, 775 nt
Filed under: uncultured Neocallimastigales
Lineage: Eukaryota; Fungi; Neocallimastigomycota; Neocallimastigomycetes; Neocallimastigales
Description: partial large subunit ribosomal RNA
Rfam family: Eukaryotic large subunit ribosomal RNA
Source: RNAcentral
AAGAGAGACAUGCGCGCAUAUCAAUAAGCGGAGGAAAAGAAACUAACAAGGAUUCCCUUAGUAACGGCGAGUGAAGCGGGAAGAGCUCAAAUUUGAAAUCUUCAAGGUUUUACCUUGACGAAUUGUAGUUUAAAGAAGUGUUUUCUGCUGAAGUUUUGGUAAAAGUUCUUUGGAAUAGGGCAUCAUAGAGGGUGAGAAUCCCGUAUUUGACCAUUAUUUUCAGCCUUGUGAUACACUUUCAAAGAGUCGGAUUGUUUGGGAAUGCAGUCCAAAAUGGGUGGUAAAUUUCAUCUAAAGCUAAAUAUUGGCGAGAGACCGAUAGCGAACAAGUACCGUGAGGGAAAGAUGAAAAGAACUUUGAAAAGAGAGUUAAACAGUACGUGAAAUUGUCAAAAGGGAAGCGUUUGACACCAGUGUUGUUUUCUCGAAAAUCAAUUAAAAAUGGCUCGAUUUUGUAUUGUUGAGACCUUAAAAGCUCACUGUACAUUUUUCGCUGUCUUUUUUAAUGCACUUUUCGUUUAACAAGUCAACAUCAGUUUCUUUUGUUGUAAAGAGGGUCAUUGGAAGGUGGCUUUCUUUUCGGAGAAAGUGUUUAUAGCCUUUGGCCUCUGCAAUCGGAGAGACUGAGGUCUGCAGCGUAGACUCUUCGGGGUUAGAUACAUUUGUGCUAAGUUAUAGCUUUUUAUAGACAACUUGUUGACUAUAAUUAGUCUUGUAGCUUACUCGCUUAUGCUAUUUUACCUACGCUUAGGAUGUUGAAGAUGUAGCACAUCAU